This 725-nucleotide ribosomal RNA is filed under the name uncultured bacterium. Its description in RNAcentral is "bacterial SSU rRNA". It matches the Rfam family "Bacterial small subunit ribosomal RNA", at positions 771 to 1501 of the family's 1533-position model. The record is from RNAcentral.
AACAGGAUUAGAUACCCUGGUAGUCCACGCCCUAAACGAUGUCUACUAGUUGUCGGGUCUUAAUUGACUUGGUAACGCAGCUAACGCGUGAAGUAGACCGCCUGGGGAGUACGGUCGCAAGAUUAAAACUCAAAGGAAUUGACGGGGACCCGCACAAGCGGUGGAUGAUGUGGAUUAAUUCGAUGCAACGCGAAAAACCUUACCUACCCUUGACAUGGCUGGAAUCCUUGAGAGAUCAGGGAGUGCUCGAAAGAGAACCAGUACACAGGUGCUGCAUGGCUGUCGUCAGCUCGUGUCGUGAGAUGUUGGGUUAAGUCCCGCAACGAGCGCAACCCUUGUCAUUAGUUGCUACGAAAGGGCACUCUAAUGAGACUGCCGGUGACAAACCGGAGGAAGGUGGGGAUGACGUCAAGUCCUCAUGGCCCUUAUGGGUAGGGCUUCACACGUCAUACAAUGGUACAUACAGAGCGCCGCCAACCCGCGAGGGGGAGCUAAUCGCAGAAAGUGUAUCGUAGUCCGGAUUGUAGUCUGCAACUCGACUGCAUGAAGUUGGAAUCGCUAGUAAUCGCGGAUCAGCAUGUCGCGGUGAAUACGUUCCCGGGUCUUGUACACACCGCCCGUCACACCAUGGGAGCGGGUUUUACCAGAAGUAGGUAGCUUAACCGCAAGGAGGGCGCUUACCACGGUAGGAUUCGUGACUGGGGUGAAGUCGUAACAAGGUAACC